GUGAGGAAUAUUGCGCAAUGGACGAAAGUCUGACGCAGCCAUGCCGCGUGAAGGAUUGACGGCCCUAUGGGUUGUAAACUUCUUUUGUAUAGGAAUAAACCCUCGUUCGUGAACGAGGCUGAAGGUACUAUAAGAAUAAGCACCGGCUAACUCCGUGCCAGCAGCCGCGGUAAUACGGAGGGUGCAAGCGUUAUCCGGAUUUAUUGGGUUUAAAGGGUCCGUAGGCGGAUCGUUAAGUCAGUGGUGAAAUCCUACCGCUCAACGGCAGAACUGCCAUUGAUACUGGCGAUCUUGAGUAUGUAUGAAGUUGGCGGAAUGUGUGGUGUAGCGGUGAAAUGCUUAGAUAUCACACAGAACACCGAUUGCGAAGGCAGCUGACUAAUACACAACUGACGCUGAGGGACGAAAGUGUGGGGAUCAAACAGGAUUAGAUACCCUUGUAGUCC
RNAcentral lists this ribosomal RNA (446 nucleotides) under uncultured bacterium. RNAcentral describes it as "partial 16S ribosomal RNA". It matches the Rfam family "Bacterial small subunit ribosomal RNA", at positions 354 to 796 of the family's 1533-position model. The record is from RNAcentral.